Molecule: ribosomal RNA, 667 nt
Filed under: Alexandrium tamarense
Lineage: Eukaryota; Dinophyceae; Gonyaulacales; Pyrocystaceae
Description: eukaryotic LSU rRNA
Rfam family: Eukaryotic large subunit ribosomal RNA
Source: RNAcentral
UAAGUAAGUGGUGGAAAUUAAACCAAAUGGGAUAUCUUUAGUAAUUGCGAAUGAACAAGGAUAUGCUUAGCUUGACAAAUGGAGCUAUUGGCUUUGAAUUGUAUUUGUGGAAUGUAUUACCAACAGAGGUGCAGGUGCCAGCCUAUUAAAUAAAGCGUCAAUGAGGGUGAGAAUCCUGUUUGUCAUGUGCAGCCCUUUGUGCACGGUGUAUAUUUGCUGAGUCACACUCCUUGGCAUUGGAAUGCAAAGUGGGUGGUAAGUUUCAUGUACAGGUAAACAUGCAAUUGAGACUGAUAGCACACAAGUACCAUGAGGGAAAUAUGAAAAGGACUUUGAAAAGAGAAUUAAAUGAGUUUGUAUUUGCUGAACACAAAGUAAACAGACUUGAUUUGCUUGGUGGGAGUGUUGCACUUGCUUGACAAGAGCUUUGGGCUGUGGGUGUAAUGAUUCUUUCUUUGCAUGCCAGUUUCUAAGUGUACAUCUGAUUACCUUUGCACAUGAAUGAUAAGUCUCCUGUGGGGGGUGGAUUGCAUGUGCAUGUAAUGAUUUGUGUUUUGAUAAAUGUGUCUGGUGUAUGUGUGUGUGUUCCUGUGCUUGGGGAUGCUUCCUUCCUUGGACUUACAAGCCCUGACACACACAUGCUGGCAAAAUGCUUCUGCUUGACCCG